GUUACUAUUAAUCUAUUGGAUACAUCCACAGACUUUAUCCUAUUUAGUAUUUUAUGCACCAGUAAUAGAUACACAAAUCUGCCUUGAUUUAACUUGAAUGCAGGUUUGCUGCUACCGAAUCCUUCUCCAGCCACACAAGACUUCAUUAUUUACAGGACAGCAAAGAAAUUUUAUUCUACCUUUGUAGGGAAAUUAAAAUCCUCUCGAAGUACUCGGGAUGCAUCAAAACCAAAUGCAUCUGUUCUAUGCAGUGCAGACAUUUGGUUAUUGAGCUAUCCCGUACCUUUUAAUAGAAAGCAGAUUGUGGGUCUAUUGUAAAAUCCGUAUCAACUCCAUGUAAAACGAUCAGAUACAUUCAGUGAUUUAGCUUCUACCAGUGAACAUCUUAUCCGGUUCUGAAGAACGCGAUGCGUGUUGCUGUGUGGAUCUUCCCGAGUCAGCUAUUUCAGAGUUCUGCACAGACACAGGCAGACAGGCAGCAGAGGGGCAGCAACCGGGAGCAACCUCGGAGCAAUUGCGAGGGAUCAGAGUGACACCGCGGCCGUCACGGGAACACUGCGCAGGACACGUCCCACUGCAGAGUGACAAGGACGAUAACGAGCGGGUGAAAAAUGCCUUCAUUAUGAGGACUGAUCAUUAGUGGAUGUGAAGUUGAGAAGAUGAUGAAGAUGAGUUGUUGGCUCUAGCAGAGAAUUGACCCAUCAGUGUCAUUAAGUGAACUCCAGCAAGCCCAGCAAUUCCCAGGGGGCAAAUCAUUGAAUUCCUCAGGAGCAAAGGCCUGAUUUCAUUCUGGCAUAAAUAAAAGUGACUUCACAGAAACCAAUGGCAACAUCUGCAGUUACAUCAAAUCUGAAUCCAAAAGGCCAGUCCAGAGCAGCAACAAGAGUGCGAGCUCCAGAGGAACAGGCAGGGCUGGGUAUUUUCUUCCUCCAGCUGAAAUAACAGCACUGAGCUCUUCUCACUACUCCUCUCCUGUAGUCUUCCCAUAAUCAAAGCAAAUCAGCAGAAGAAACAACAUGGAAAGGACAAGGCCACAGUCAUGAAGAUACUUGGAGUCUUCCCCUUGCUGAGAUGAAGACCUCAUCUCGUUGAGAAAAGCCGUGGCCCAGCUGUACUCUGCCUCCACUUUCUACCGUAGGAAUAGCAAACAUGAGGUGGGAGGGAGCGGGGAAGUGAAGCGUAAUAUUGUGAACUUCUGCUAAAUCACACAAUCUGUUAUCCUGCUCUCAGACAGUGUUCCAGAUCUCCCUUCUACCAGACCUUCAACACAACACAAGCCACCAGGGUAGGCUGCCUCCCAUUGUGCUCUGUCUUCUAAAAGCAAACAUUGUUCAUAGCAUGCAUGUUUAACCAGGGUGUGCUCUCUUCAGAGAACUGCUUUGGCACGUGGAUUUAGGCCAGCAUCAACAAAGCUGAUUUUCCUAUGAAUCUUCUGCCUUGAGAAUUGUCACAUGCAUGGCAAGUAUUCUUGUCAAUCUGCUUUUGUGAAGACCACCCGUUGCAUUGCCCUGGAACCGUGGGCUGCUCUUCAGCGCUGUGAUUAGCACUCCCAGAACAUUGGGUCUUUCGCAAUGGCUAAGGGGAGACUUCCCAACAUCACACGUGGGCCCACAUAAAGACACACAAACACAGAAGUACUAUUGUAAAGGGCAAAUCAGAAAUGCAAAAAGCAAAUCAGGAUAACAAAGAACAUCUCAGAGCUUCUGGCCUCAAGUGCACAUCUGCCUGCCAAAAUAUGAGCACUUGUCAACACCAAUUCAUUUUCCAGGUGAGACAGGCCAGGGUAAACUUGCUGACAACUUUAUUCCUUUGGGGAGCAAAAGGUGUCUUGCAUCUUCACCAAAGGAAGGCAGUGGUUGCUGCAACCAGCAAGCUCUAUUGCCAAUUGUAACCUGUUGUAUUUCUUCCUUCUGAUAAUGUCAGGUGCCAACACAGCUCCAUAACAACAACUCUGGAGAUAGCCAAGGCUUUUGCAGCCAUGGUGAGUAAAUGGUGGUAGACCCCUAGCUUGUGGUACUGAUUUUUGUGAUAAACCUGCCUUUGUGCUCUGUGUUUCAGCCGGACAAGGAUGGCUGCCAGCUCUUGCCAGCUCCAGAUACCUAUUCUGGAAGCAGCCAUCUCGGAUGAACGUUACUUUGCCAAACUACAAUUGCCAGCGGCAUUGUCAGAAUCUUAGCUGUUUUCUCUUAAAAAGGAACAUGUAAAAGGGACACGGGCUAACAAGCUAACCUCCAAAACCACAGAAAAAACCCUCCCAGGAAGAAAAGUUCCCUGGUCUCCUCUACAUGUACGUUGCUGAAAUAAAAUGGCUGAAGUACCACCGUGCUCUGAUCCCCAUUCACAAUAUAGCCUUGUAGACCAUUCUCCCAGGAAAAGUAGUUCUGCUGUGCUUGCUGCCUUACUGAUGGCUAUCUUGCACAAAGAAACCAAAGUUUCCCAUACCUGCAGUCUGUUCCCAGGGAAUUCCUGGGAUAAAAUACUAGACCUGUAUUUCUACAUAAUCUCAGCGUCAUGGUUUAAGCCCAGCCAACAACUAAGCACCACACAGCUGCUCACUCACUCCCCUGCCCCCAGCGAGACGAGGGGGAGAAUCAGUAGAGCGAAAGUGAGAAAACUCAGGGGUUGAGGUAAAGACAGUUUAAUAAGUAAAAUGAAAGCCCAUCGUGAAAGCAAAGCAAAAAGAGGAAUUCAUUAAUUACUUCCCAUGGGCAGGCAGGUGUUCAGCCACCUCGAGGAAAGCAGGGCUGCAUCAUGCCUAACGGUUACUUGGGAAGACAAAUGGCAUCACUCUGAACGUCCCUCCCUUACUUUUUCUUCCCCCAGCUCUCUAUACUGAGCAUGGCAAUGUCUGGUAUGCAAUGUCCUUUUGGUCAGUCGGGGUCAGCUGUCCCAGCUGUGUCUCCUCCCAACUUGUUCCCCCCCAGCCUGCUCGCUGGCAGGGGGUAUGAGUGACCAAAAAUGCCUUGACUCUGUGUAAGCACUGCUCAGCAAUAACUAAAACAUCCCUGCAUUAUCAACACUGUUUCCAGCACAAAUCCAAGACUAGCUAAAAUUAACUCUAUCCCAGCCCAAACCAGCACGCUCACUGACUUGAAGCGUUCCACACCUGCACGAUGAAAUGAACCUUGUUAUCUAUUUCUAUGGGCUUGUGGACUUUUAUUCCCAUUUCCUGCUCUUGGGUUCCACUGGUGACCAUAAGGUGCUGCGGAGGGAAGAAGGAAAAGCAAAUGCAAAUAAAGGAAGACCUUUGUAUACAUCCCCAAAAGAGCCGACAGAAAAGGUCAGAUAAUACAUAUUAAAAACAAAUAGCUGGAAAAAUAAACAGGAUGCCUUGAAAAUGAACCAGAUGAGUCAAAAGGCACAGAAGGAAUCUAUUUUAAAAAAAAGAAAGUUAAUGUAGGAUAACACAGUUAAAGCAAGAUAAUUGUUAUAGAAAACUCAGCUGCAGCAAAUGCAGCAACAAACGUCUACAGAGGAAAAAGCACUUGCACAAAAAUAACAUAGCAAAAACAAAUAUGGCCAUAAAUUCAGCCCGAGGUUCCAGGCUCCCGCAGAGGAGAUGUAGAGAAACAUUCUAAAAACCAAAGAUGCUGUUUGCGUUUUCAGAAAUGCAGCUUUGAGUGAGUUGUGUUUCUCUUGUGUUAGUCUCCUACGUGUCCCAAGCCAUCUGCGUUGCCAUAUUUGUUUGACAAGGUGCAUCUACACAGCAACUUCUCUGAGUCACUGACCACAAGCGAGAGCUGCUUUCCCAUGAAAUCUUUAACAAAAAGUAGAAGUUUCUGAAGAAAUACGUCAGUUUGAACAAAAAUGUUUUUCACAUACAGAGAUAGCUGAAGAAGCUGCAAUUCCAAAGCUAAAAUAAUACUACACAAGGGUUAAAACCCACAUUGCCCUGUCCUUGGUAAAACACACAGACUGUUCUCUGCUCUGGGGUCCAUAUCUAUCUGCCUGUCUCUGAGAAUUUUAAAAGGCCUUGCUGUCAUUUCCUAUUGGAAAAUAAAUACACUUCAAAACCUCAAAACUUGCUGAACAGAACGGUUGUUUUCCUAGUCCAAGAGCAAUAGUCUCCUCUCUGGUAAAUUCUGUACUGCAUUGGAACCCCACGGCUUGUUCUCUGCAUGUUGACUUUAGACCAGCUUUCCUGGGCAGCUGCGGUAAAUAAAGCCCUCAGCUGGUUUUUGGUGCCGCAGGGGGUGGGGAGGGACGGGGUCACAUCACACGCUGCAGUGAUCCUGCCCCAGCAGGGUAAGACGUUCGGAACCAUGCGGGAACUCCUCAGAUCUCAGUUUAACAGCGUUUUACCAGACCAGGCCCUGAAAACUUUCAUGUGUCUGAACUGGAUUGUUUUCCAAAAUUCAUGAUACACACUGGCCAGGGCAGAUGAUGAGUGUGUAAUGAGGUAAAGAGGCACUGGGAUGGGGUAAGGCAGCUCACACUCUACCAUAAAGCCAUACAUAAGUGGUAGGUACUGUAGCAAAAUCAAGGGAAGAGAAGGGAGUCUGCAGAUCCCAUAUUAUUAACAUAAAGCUAGAGUUUAAUAAGUUAAACCUGUCAGACCAUAAGCAUUAUACGGCUAUGCUGGCAAUCACGCUGAGGUGUAUUUUAACGCUAACAUCUGUAUCGUUUGCACAUCUUUAACAUAAAACUAUAGUUCAGCUAAGGUUUUAUGGCAAAAAUGUUACUUCCUGAUAGUUUUAUUUAGUUUCAGACUUUAUUUGCAGGCUGCAAAACAUAUAACGUUUGAGGAAAAAAAAUAUAGUGAAUACAUAAAUAAGAGGUUUAUGAGAAAACUCCAUGCCUUUAAAAACACUUGUUUAAAGGAAUUAAAAGGCAAAGGGCCAAAAUGCAACAUACUCCAGUAAAAACAGAAGGUCAAUGCUGGAUGAAAGGCAGUAAUUUCACUCCAUGUUGCACAGACUAACACAGAGCAUUGGAACAUCCCCUGUAUCCCAGACAUGGAGCUGCUGAGAUCAUCCCAAAAACCAGGUUCAACUGUAUUGACAGUUCAGGCAGACAAAAAGAUGCUUCAUUUAGGGGCAUCAUCAAGCUGAUGUAACAAUUUUUAAGUGACCUAAAAUAUUGUCCAUCAUUGAUGCAUGGUAGAGUGGUAUAUGACAGGAGAAACAUCCAUUAAAGCUGAAAAUCUAAUCAAAAGCAUACCUUGCUUUUGGUAGAAAAGUGGACUUAAGGGGACACAGAAUUAUCAGGAAAAAAGGAAUGAUAGAAAUACACGGUGUUUCUCCUUUCCUAUAAGCUUUCACUGAGCAAAUUAAAAAUACCCGUAGCAUACAAUGAAUCAAUGGUCUGAAUCAUGCCCCACAAUAAUUCUGUAAUGCACCCCAGCACAGAGCGCUUAGCCUAAAAUGAGACAAUCUCUAGUGACUUCAAAUAAGUUACUUGAAUUAGCUGAGGUAUCAUUUAUAAAGUGUCU
Molecule: long non-coding RNA, 5431 nt
Organism: Columba livia (rock pigeon)
Lineage: Eukaryota; Metazoa; Chordata; Aves; Columbiformes; Columbidae
Exons: 4
Source: RefSeq, a predicted model, not a curated record